AAUCAUUAAAGAUUUUUAAAAGUUUUACACCUCGACAAAGAACUGUAAAUUUUUAUGUUUUAUUUUUUUCGCUGGCUGACUGGCAAAGAUUAACAUUAGUUCUAAGGACACAGAGCUAAGUCAGCAUGGAUCCCUCAUUCUUGAGUUCGUUCUGGUUGGGGGAAAAGAAGUAGUGUGUGAGCUCUGCACACCCCCUGGGUGCAUACAUCAGGUGUGGUUUUACCCAGAGGUUAAAGGCCUGUUCUGGUGAACACAUGGCAUAUUUUGAGGUUAGUGGUUGGGGCACUGGAGUCAGACCUGGAUACAAGCACUGAUCUCACCAUUUACUAGUGUGUAAACUUUAAUGUGAAUCUUGUUCAUAUUUUGCAGCUAGCAAAUAA
Molecule: long non-coding RNA, 380 nt
Filed under: Homo sapiens (human)
Lineage: Eukaryota; Metazoa; Chordata; Mammalia; Primates; Hominidae
Description: non-protein coding lnc-ANGPTL2-5:2
Source: RNAcentral